AGAGUUUGAUCCUGGCUCAGAUUGAACGCUGGCGGCAUGCCUUACACAUGCAAGUCGAACGGUAACAGGUCUUCGGAUGCUGACGAGUGGCGAACGGGUGAGUAAUACAUCGGAACGUGCCCGAUCGUGGGGGAUAACGAGGCGAAAGCUUUGCUAAUACCGCAUACGAUCUACGGAUGAAAGCGGGGGAUCUUCGGACCUCGCGCGGACGGAGCGGCCGAUGGCAGAUUAGGUAGUUGGUGGGAUAAAAGCUUACCAAGCCGACGAUCUGUAGCUGGUCUGAGAGGAUGAUCAGCCACACUGGGACUGAGACACGGCCCAGACUCCUACGGGAGGCAGCAGUGGGGAAUUUUGGACAAUGGGCGAAAGCCUGAUCCAGCCAUGCCGCGUGCAGGAUGAAGGCCUUCGGGUUGUAAACUGCUUUUGUACGGAACGAAAAGCCUCUUUCUA
This 450-nucleotide ribosomal RNA is filed under the name uncultured bacterium. RNAcentral describes it as "bacterial SSU rRNA". It matches the Rfam family "Bacterial small subunit ribosomal RNA", at positions 8 to 462 of the family's 1533-position model. The record is from RNAcentral.